This is a long non-coding RNA of Nannospalax galili (Upper Galilee mountains blind mole rat), 468 nucleotides long. RefSeq lists it as uncharacterized. NCBI's taxonomy places the organism in Eukaryota, Metazoa, Chordata, Mammalia, Rodentia, Spalacidae. The transcript is spliced from 3 exons. The record is from RefSeq and is a predicted model, not a curated record.
GGGUGCUUCAGAUGUCCUUUCUCAUCCAUUAUACAGGUGUUAAUGCUUGAUCUGCUUCUCAGAGUUAUUCAGGGAGCAGACAAGGAAUAUAACAACUGACUUGCCCAAGGUCACACCCGCAGUGGGUGGCAGAGCUGAAGUGUGAACUGGCACGGACCCAGGCUACACCUCCAGGCUUGAGACCCGCAGGUAAGCUGAUGGGCAGAAGCAAAGAGCAGGUUCGCUAACCCUAGAGGCCAUGGAGAGCCAGGCUCCCCCCACAGGCGAUCUCGGCGACACUUGAAGACCGGGACACUGAGGCCAAGAGCGGAUACAGGCCCGUGUGAGGUCAACGGGCAACGACCGGACUCGAACUCGGGCCGGUUAGAGCCCAAGCGAAGGCCAGGCUCCGGCCCUGCCUCCCUCGCCGCCAUUAGCGCCCCGGGCCCUAACGUGCCCCCGCCCUGGCGCUGCCCUCCCGCUGCCCUG